GGAGGAAUUUGACUCGAUUACGUUAUUUUCGACGAGUACAUUGACUACAAUCUCAUCAUUUUCAAUAUUUUGGUAGUAUUUUGAUUUAUUGAUACCAAAAUUAAAGUAUUCAACUCCACAGGAAUCUAACAUCAUGGACUCUAGCAUUUCCUUCAAUGCAGAAAACGUCGGUCUGUUGACGGGAAACUGUUCCCAACAUAACAUCAUUAUUUGGUAUCUAAAAACAAGAAAACA
Molecule: long non-coding RNA, 234 nt
Filed under: Mytilus galloprovincialis (Mediterranean mussel)
Lineage: Eukaryota; Metazoa; Mollusca; Bivalvia; Mytilida; Mytilidae
Source: RNAcentral